Molecule: ribosomal RNA, 418 nt
Filed under: Spurilla sargassicola
Lineage: Eukaryota; Metazoa; Mollusca; Gastropoda; Nudibranchia; Aeolidiidae
Description: partial 16S ribosomal RNA
Rfam family: Archaeal large subunit ribosomal RNA
Source: RNAcentral
AGCCAUUAGAUGAUACUAUAUGGUUUUACCUGCCCAAUGUUACGAUGAAUGGCCGCGGUACCCUGACCGUGCUAAGGUAGCGUAAUCAGUUGACCUUUAAAUGAGGUCAGGAAUGAAUGGAAUAACCGGGUUUAGCUGUCUCCAAAUCAUUAUAUUGAAUUUACUAUCUAAGUGAAAAAGCUUAGGACUUAAAAAAGGAGGAGAAGACCCUUAGAAUUUUUUUAAAAAGGAUUUUAAUUUCCUUACAGUUUUAUUGGGGCGAUAAAGAAAUAAUUAAAACUUUCUUUUUUAACAAGCCGAUUGUAUUAAGUAAGAAUAAAUUACCUGAGGGAUAACAGCAUAAUUCUACAAUUGAGUUUGUGACCUCGAUGUUGGACUAGGAAACCAGUAGAGAACUAGCCGUUUACUGUGUUAGGUU